CGGGGCGUGGCUCAGCUGGCUAGAGCGUCCGCUUUGGGAGCGGAAGGCCGCCGGUUCAAAUCCGGCCGCCCCGACCA
This 77-nucleotide transfer RNA is filed under the name Pseudomonadota bacterium. RNAcentral describes it as "tRNA-Pro". It matches the Rfam family "tRNA". From Rfam's summary of the family: Transfer RNA (tRNA) molecules are approximately 80 nucleotides in length. Their secondary structure includes four short double-helical elements and three loops (D, anti-codon, and T loops). Lineage: Bacteria; Pseudomonadati; Pseudomonadota. The record is from RNAcentral. RNAcentral also lists the same sequence under 2 other names.